GGGGCUGUAGCUCAGUGGGAGAGCACUUGCCUGGCAGGCAAGGGGUCAGGGGUUCGACCCCCCUCAGCUCCACCA
Molecule: transfer RNA, 75 nt
Filed under: bacterium
Lineage: Bacteria
Description: tRNA-Ala
Rfam family: tRNA
About the family: Transfer RNA (tRNA) molecules are approximately 80 nucleotides in length.
Source: RNAcentral